CGAGCACGCGCGUGUGGCAUAUCAAUAAGCGGAGGAAAAGAAACUAACAAGGAUUCCCCUAGUAACGGCGAGUGAAGCGGGAAGAGCUCAAAUUUGAAAUCUUCAAGGGUUUCUACCUUGACGAAUUGUAGUUUAUAGAAGUGUUUUUCUGUUAGAGGAGGUGGUAAAAGUUCUUUGGAAUAGGACAUCAUAGAGGGUGAGAAUCCCGUAUUUGGAUCACUUUCCUACUAGCGUUGUGAUACACUUUCAAAGAGUCGGAUUGUUUGGGAAUGCAGUCCAAAAUGGGUGGUAAAUUUCAUCUAAAGCUAAAUAUUGGCGAGAGACCGAUAGCGAACAAGUACCGUGAGGGAAAGAUGAAAAGAACUUUGAAAAGAGAGUUAAACAGUACGUGAAAUUGUCAAAAGGGAAGCGUUUGACACCAGUGUUGUUUUUCCGAAAAUCAAUUAAUGAAUGGCUUUUAUUUUUGAGGAGUUUCAUGACCUUAAUAGGCUUGUUUCUUAUUUUUCAUGUAACUUUCUUAAUGCACUUUUCGGUUAACAAGUCAACAUCAAUUUCUUUUGUUGUAAAAGGGUACGAGGAAGGUGGCUUUUACUUUUCGGAGUAAAGUGUUUAUAGCCCUGUUGACUCUGCAAUCGGAGAGAUUGAGGUCUGCAGCGUAGAUCCUUCGGGGUUAGAUACAUUUGUGCUAAGUUAUAGCUUUUCAUAGACAACUUGUUGACUAUGUUUAGUCUUGUAGAUUUACUCGCAUAUGCUAUUUUACCUACGCUUAGGAUGUUGAUGUGAUACUGCGAGCA
RNAcentral lists this ribosomal RNA (794 nucleotides) under uncultured Neocallimastigales. RNAcentral describes it as "partial large subunit ribosomal RNA". It matches the Rfam family "Eukaryotic large subunit ribosomal RNA", at positions 19 to 646 of the family's 3401-position model. Lineage: Eukaryota; Fungi; Neocallimastigomycota; Neocallimastigomycetes; Neocallimastigales. The record is from RNAcentral.